GGGUGCUUAAGGCUUUCUGUCUUAAGCAUUUCUCUACGUCAUUCCGAACGAUGGUGAGUAUGUGAGAGGCAGAAAGUUGAAAGCCCCGGGCAAUGUUUCCAUUAACCCGAGGCUACUCUCAACCACCUUCAACAAGUGGAGAGUAGCCUCUUACCCUUUUGUUUGCAAGGAGUAAAAGGCAUG
RNAcentral lists this antisense RNA (183 nucleotides) under Enterobacter sp. kpr-6. RNAcentral's name for it is "sok antitoxin". It matches the Rfam family "sok antitoxin (CssrC)". Rfam says of the family: Also identified in Shigella as CssrC. The record is from RNAcentral. Lineage: Bacteria; Pseudomonadati; Pseudomonadota; Gammaproteobacteria; Enterobacterales; Enterobacteriaceae.